Molecule: ribosomal RNA, 503 nt
Filed under: uncultured bacterium
Lineage: Bacteria
Description: partial 16S ribosomal RNA
Rfam family: Bacterial small subunit ribosomal RNA
Source: RNAcentral
GUUGAACGCUGGCGGCAGACUUAACACAUGCAAGUCGAGCGGGGUGAUGGUGCUUGCACUAUCACUUAGCGGCGGACGGGUGAGUAAUGCUUGGGAAUCUGCCUAUUAGUGGGGGACAACAUCUCGAAAGGGAUGCUAAUACCGCAUACGUCCUACGGGAGAAAGCAGGGGAUCACUUGUGACCUUGCGCUAAUAGAUGAGCCUAAGUCGGAUUAGCUAGUUGGUGGGGUAAAGGCCUACCAAGGCGACGAUCUGUAGCGGGUCUGAGAGGAUGAUCCGCCACACUGGGACUGAGACACGGCCCAGACUCCUACGGGAGGCAGCAGUGGGGAAUAUUGGACAAUGGGGGGAACCCUGAUCCAGCCAUGCCGCGUGUGUGAAGAAGGCCUUAUGGUUGUAAAGCACUUUAAGCGAGGAGGAGGCUCUUUUGGUUAAUACCCAAGAUGAGUGGACGUUACUCGCAGAAUAAGCACCGGCUAACUCUGUGCCAGCAGCCGCGGUAA